UACAACGCACUACCUGUUCAUAGUAGUCGUUGCUGUCAACAGCACACUGCUCACCAUCAACGCAGGGGACUACAUCUUCUACACCGACUGGGCGUGGACGUCCUUCGUUGUGUUCUCGGUGUCGGAGUGGUAAAUGCGUUCUGUAGGCCCAAUAUCCUACAUGUUUUCCACAGGUGUUCGAGGCAGCUCCGCCUUAUACGCCACUAGCAUGGCCCUCUCACCGUUGGUGACCAAGGUGGGGUGGAUUGCAUUUGGAUCCUCGUACCUAGUCGGCGACAAGCCGCAACAAGCACGCUGCACGACUGAUUGGCGGUACGGUGGUUGGCCUAUCCUUCCCGCUGUUCAACAUGUGCAACCUGUUGCUUGUAAGGGACCCGCUCGAGGUGGCCUUCAAGUAUCCGAGACCGACUCUGCCCGCGUACAUGACGCCUAUAGGGCCUCAGGUAGGGAAGUUCUACAACUCGCCUGUCGCCCUGGGUGCAGGUGCCGGUGCAGUGCUAACGGUACCCAUCGCUGCGUUGGGUGCAAAACUAAACACGUGG
Molecule: ribosomal RNA, 542 nt
Filed under: uncultured Nitrososphaerota archaeon
Lineage: Archaea; Thermoproteati; Nitrososphaerota
Description: uncultured thaumarchaeote partial 16S ribosomal RNA
Source: RNAcentral